UUUUUUUAUUUAUUUUUAAUUUUUUUUUCACUUAUGCUAAUAUAAUUGGUUCUGUGCGCACAUGUUAGAAAGAGAGAAUUCUCUAGAUCAUGCUAAAUGUUAUUCAUGCCUGUAUAUAUCUUGGUUUUGUUUGCAUGACAUGGAAAGAAGAAACAAGAAAAGAAAUAUAAGAAAAAGCAGCCUCAACACACUUUAAGCUCUCAGGAAUAAAUGUUAAAAGAAAUAGAAAGAAAGAAAAGAAAAGCUUUUAGGUCUAGAAUAGAAUGGCUUUGCUUCAUACUAAUUCGAGGGUUAUGUGAAUGGCUUUGCUCCAUACUAAUGCGAGGGUUAUGUGAAAAUAUAUAUAUAUUUUUUUCACUUAGCUCACCAGAAAACAUCUUUUUUUCAUCAAGAA
This 394-nucleotide unclassified non-coding RNA is filed under the name Hevea brasiliensis (rubber tree). The record is from RNAcentral. Lineage: Eukaryota; Viridiplantae; Streptophyta; Magnoliopsida; Malpighiales; Euphorbiaceae.